GACGAACGCUGGCGGCGUGCUUAACACAUGCAAGUCGAACGGAAAGGCCCUGCUUUUGUGGGGUGCUCGAGUGGCGAACGGGUGAGUAACACGUGAGUAACCUGCCCUUGACUUUGGGAUAACUUCAGGAAACUGGGGCUAAUACCGGAUAGGAGCUCCUGCUGCAUGGUGGGGGUUGGAAAGUUUCGGCGGUUGGGGAUGGACUCGCGGCUUAUCAGCUUGUUGGUGGGGUAGUGGCUUACCAAGGCUUUGACGGGUAGCCGGCCUGAGAGGGUGACCGGCCACAUUGGGACUGAGAUACGGCCCAGACUGCUACGGGAGGCAGCAGGGGGGAGUAUUGCGCAAUGGGCGGAAGCGUGAUGCAGCAACGCCGCGUGCGGGAUGACGGCCUUCGGGUUGUAAACCGCUUUCGCCUGUGACGAAGCGUGAGUGACGGUAACGGGUAAAGAAGCACCGGCUAACUACGUG
RNAcentral lists this ribosomal RNA (468 nucleotides) under uncultured bacterium. RNAcentral's name for it is "partial 16S ribosomal RNA". It matches the Rfam family "Bacterial small subunit ribosomal RNA", at positions 28 to 507 of the family's 1533-position model. The record is from RNAcentral.